GACGAACGCUGGCGGCGUGCUUAACACAUGCAAGUCGAACGGUAAGGCUCCAGCUUGCUGGGGUACACGAGUGGCGAACGGGUGAGUAACACGUGGGUGACCUGCCCUGCACUUCGGGAUAAGCCUGGGAAACUGGGUCUAAUACCGGAUAGGACCGCACCGUGAGGGUGUGGUGGAAAGUUUUUUCGGUGUGGGAUGGGCCCGCGGCCUAUCAGCUUGUUGGUGGGGUAAUGGCCUACCAAGGCGGCGACGGGUAGCCGGCCUGAGAGGGUGGACGGCCACAUUGGGACUGAGACACGGCCCAGACUCCUACGGGAGGCAGCAGUGGGGAAUAUUGCACAAUGGGCGGAAGCCUGAUGCAGCGACGCCGCGUGGGGGAUGACGGCCUUCGGGUUGUAAACUCCUUUCACCAUCGACGAAGGGUUUCUGACGGUAGACGGAGAAGAAGCACCGGCUAACUACGUG
This 465-nucleotide ribosomal RNA is filed under the name uncultured bacterium. RNAcentral's name for it is "partial 16S ribosomal RNA". It matches the Rfam family "Bacterial small subunit ribosomal RNA", at positions 28 to 507 of the family's 1533-position model. The record is from RNAcentral.